This 484-nucleotide ribosomal RNA is filed under the name uncultured bacterium. Its description in RNAcentral is "partial 16S ribosomal RNA". It matches the Rfam family "Bacterial small subunit ribosomal RNA", at positions 29 to 523 of the family's 1533-position model. The record is from RNAcentral.
AGUGAACGCUGGCGGCGUGCUUAACACAUGCAAGUCGAACGAGAACGGAUUAUAGCUUGCUAUAAUUGUCAGCUAAGUGGCGCACGGGUGAGUAAUGUAUAGGUAAUAUGCCUUUUACUAAGGAAUAACAAAUGGAAACGUUUGCUAAUACCUUAUACUCCUUAUUAACCUAAGUUAAUAAGGGAAAGAUUUAUUGGUAAGAGAUUAGCCUGUAUUGUAUCAGUUAGUUGGUGGGGUAAUGGCUUACCAAGACUAUGACACAUAACUGGUUUGAGAGGAUGAUCAGUCACACUGGAACUGAGACCCGGUCCAGACUCCUACGGGAGGCAGCAGUGGGGAAUAUUGCACAAUGGACGGAAGUCUGAUGCAGCAACGCCGCGUGGAGGAUGACACAUUUCGGUGCGUAAACUCCUUUUAUAUGAGAAGAUAAUGACGGUAUUGUAUGAAUAAGCACCGGCUAACUCCGUGCCAUCAGCCGCCGUAA